GGAACUUUUCCGAGAAUCCCUAAAAACGGGCGUUAUCAAGUCACGCUAAGUCAUGGUGUCAAUCAAGUUCAUACUAAACCCCUGCAAGAGUUAAAUUCAUUGACUGAGAAACGAAAAAGAAGCGAGACUGGGAAAUUUAGCGUCACGUUUCUUUCAUGUUUCUUGCACGAUGGACUAAGAGAAAAGAGGGGAUGCUCAUAGUACAGACAGCCUUUGGACUCGUCUCGCAUUCUUCCACCAAGAUAGCCCCUUCCAGGCGUUCAGUUAGUUGGGACACAGUGCAAAAUUCAGCGGAGUGAAAUAAGGGAGAGAGACGCUUAGUGCGAGGAGCGAACGAACGUUAAGUUCUCUUCCCUUGCCGCGUAGGUUCGAUUUCCGCCGCUCUCUCGGGUUCGCGUGACUUUUCGCACCGCGCUUCUCCCCUAUUUUUUCGUGCGCCAUUUUGCGUGCGCCAAUUUUCGUGCGCCCCAACUAAGUGAAACGGCCCAGAAGAGACUACCCCCAAGAAGGGAGGAAGAUCUGUGAUUUUAAAAUUUCAGUUUUUUCCGGAGUAUAGUAACAGCUAAUCCUGGGAAGUGUGCCAUAGCCUUUCCUGUAAAUCAGUGCCGGAACACUCUGGUACCAAAAUACGCAUUAAUUUACAACCCUUAAAAGGUUUGACGAGCAUUCCCUACUGUCAAGGAGUCUCCCAGAAAAUUGGUAAUGGUAUUGCUCUGGACUCACUUCAAUUCUGCCGAUCUGAUUUGUUUUCUUGAUGUUAUUUUCCACAGACUCUCUUCUGACAGCGCCGCAAUUAUUCGAUGCUUGUCUGGAUCUGGGGUCGAUACAUCGUCUGCUUAAAGAACUAAACAAGGCGGAACAGUUGUAUCAGAAGGCCUGGGAAAUUGCUGUGUCCAUGAAGGAUUUUAAAAAAGAAACCUUAGCUAAGAUACAUCUUGCAGUCUGCCUUCUCGAUCGUGGAGAACUAAAAGAGGCCAUUAACACCUACUUUGAGCCGCUGAUGGUGUUUAAAACCGCCAUGAAAAAGCACACAAGAGCUCUUUAUCUACACUACUAUGGUGGUGCAUGCCGGUCUGCGGCAGACUGGGGCAGAGCUAAAGAGUAUCUCCGGGAGGCCCUGGAUCUAGCAAAAGAAGUGAAGGAUGUCGGGCUUGUGUCGAGCUGCUGUGGUGAGCUGGGUAAUGUUUUCAGAUCGGAAGGAAGAUACAAAGAUGCAGAGAGACUUCACACAAUUCAUCACAACUUCGCUUUGAACAGAGGAGAUGUUCAUGGCCUGGCAAUCUCCUGCGGUAAUAUCGGCUUCUUGAAGUUUUACAAUCCUGAGGAGUUUGACGAUUCUGUAAUGUACCAGUUCAUUGAAUACUCUCUUGCUGAACAAGUGGGUGAUUUUGCUCGCACGGGCAUCGCAUUCAACAAAAUUGGAAAGCUUUAUACAACAAUAGGCUACAACGAAGAAGCCGUUACCAUGUUUCAAAUUGCACUGAAUGUCUCUCGAAGGGCCAGCAACGUCGCAGGUGAAGGAAUGGCGUGGGGAAAUCUAGGCACAGUUUACAGAGCGUUGGAAAGAUUCGAAGACGCUAUCGCUUGCCAUAUAAAAUACAGAGACAAUGCUGAAAGACGGAUGGACAUCGGUGGAGUAGCCAUCAUGCAGCAUCAGUUAGCAAUGGAUUAUCUGCUGAGUGGAAAGCUACCAGAAGCAGAGAGAUCCAUUCUCAACGCGUUUGAAACCCUGGAAAAGAUCCGUGCACAGAUCGGCGAGGAAGACAAAUCAAAGCUGUCGAAUUUUGAGAAGAAUCAAGCCGAAGCAUACAACCUGUUACAAGUUGUUCUCGUCGCCCAACUGAAGUAUAAAGAGGCGUUAGUAUUGGCGGAUACCAGCCGAGGAAGAGCACUGGCCGAAAUUGUUCGUAAGCGAUUACACGGAGAUAAAUCCGCUGAAAAAGAAACGACUUCUCUGAAUGAAGAAUUUAUAGAAGAAUCCUUCAAUAACCUGCUGGAAGUCAGUCGUAAACUCAUCACAACGUUGGUUUUUUACUCCGUGGUGAAAGAAUUUGACGAGUCUGGAGCGUUCUACAGUUGGGUCUACGCAUGGGUAUUGUAUGGUUAUGGGUAUUUCACCUUGUAGUCCGUGUCUCGAAUCCCCUUCUCUAAAAUCUUGCAUCCACCUCAGAAGCUGAAUAUCUGCCGUCCCUUCCUGUCGCCUGUUGCAGAGGGAGGAAGCCACCAGAUGAGACUGCUGAAACUCAGGCUUCAGAGCAGUUCGAGUUUGGACGAGUUGAACAGUUGUAAAAACGGACAUUUCUAAACGGCUCUUACGGAUCAAAAGUAAACUCUCUCUUCCCUUUGCCUCUUACACAGACGUCUACCGUCAUGCACAGAGACCCAUUAAAUAAGGCACCUGGUGUUUGGCAAGUCUGUCACGCGCAUUUCUGGCGGCUGGCGCGGCUUGCGUGAUUGUCACGCUCUGGAAGAUUGACGACCGAUCCGCUUGUGAACUCAUGACAUACUUUUACCGAGAAUACAAGGCUUCCCGUGAUGCUGCGGUGUCGUUGCAGAAGGCCAUGAAGAUUCUUCAAGCAAAAGACAACACACGAAGUCCUCAGCAUUGGGCUGCAUUCUCAGUUGUCGGCGUUACUGGUGUUCAAAUCUUUCAGCACUAAGCUCCUCACUGAUUGUUGUAUGAGAAUUUAGAAGUGCAUCAUCACCAGUCAAAUUGACAGUGUAUUGAUAUCUUGAGAAAAGAUAAAAUUUAGCCUUGUUUGGUGCUUUAAGAGUUACAAGUAAGUGAACUCUUCGCAGAUAGAACGUAGUUUUCAUUGGGGAAUGCUUUACAGUAAUCUAUGGUAAAAUUGACGUACAACAAACAGAAAUCGACUUAUUCAGGUUUCUAACUAUUUACCCUCAAAAUUCCGGAAAUUUCGGUCAGAAUGUAAUUGCUAAGUCAAUUUUACCUCAACCGAGCGGAAGUUUCCGAAAUAUACGGAGCGUCUUGAAAGGUAGUCCAAAAUUUCUUGCGGCGAAAUAUCCGAAUGGAAAAUGUGCUUACUAUUUGCAAUCCUACACCAGUUCCAGCCGCCAUCUUGGAAUUAUGAUCUGGUUGAACUCAUCGUCGAGUUCUUUCCAGGGGUGGACACAGAGUAGUUCAAAUGAUUUCCAGAAAUCACUCGAAUGUUUC
RNAcentral lists this unclassified non-coding RNA (3175 nucleotides) under Orbicella faveolata. Its description in RNAcentral is "tetratricopeptide repeat protein 28-like, transcript variant X1". Lineage: Eukaryota; Metazoa; Cnidaria; Anthozoa; Scleractinia; Merulinidae. The record is from RNAcentral.